Molecule: ribosomal RNA, 301 nt
Filed under: uncultured bacterium
Lineage: Bacteria
Description: partial 16S ribosomal RNA
Rfam family: Bacterial small subunit ribosomal RNA
Source: RNAcentral
CAGUAGCCGCGGUAAUACGAAGGGUGCAAGCGCUAAUCGGAAUUACUGGGCGUAAAGCGUGCGUAGGCGGUUUGUUAAGUCUGUUGUGAAAUCCCCGGGCUCAACCUGGGAAUGGCAAUGGAUACUGGCAAGCUAGAGUGUGUCAGAGGAUGGUGGAAUUCCCGGUGUAGCAGUGAAAUGCGUAGAGAUCGGGAGGAACAUCAGUGGCGAAGGCGGCCAUCUGGGACAACACUGACGCUGAGGCACGAAAGCGUGGGGAGCAAACAGGAUUAGAUACCCGAGUAGUCCCUGUCUCUUAUAC